UUGAAGUUACUGCAUCAAUAGAUAAUGCAACAGAUGCAAUACUGCAGAAAACCAUAAGGACUGAAUUUGUAGAUUGCACUGUUAUUGCAGUAGCCCACAGAAUACCAACUGUAAUGGACUGCACAAAGGUGCUAGCCAUGAGUGAUGGUAAAGUAGUGGAGUUUGAUAAGCA
Molecule: long non-coding RNA, 172 nt
Organism: Telopea speciosissima
Lineage: Eukaryota; Viridiplantae; Streptophyta; Magnoliopsida; Proteales; Proteaceae
Exons: 4
Source: RefSeq, a predicted model, not a curated record